Molecule: ribosomal RNA, 507 nt
Filed under: Triticum aestivum (bread wheat)
Lineage: Eukaryota; Viridiplantae; Streptophyta; Magnoliopsida; Poales; Poaceae
Description: partial small subunit ribosomal RNA
Source: RNAcentral
AUGGCUACACAACCAUUCAAAGUUCUUGUGUGGAAUGUCAGGGGGCUCAACUCUCCGGCGAGACGGAGUGCCAUCUAUCAAGCAGUAACAAAUGCGAAUCCGUUAGUAGUAUGUUUUCAGGAGAUGAAGCUCCAAGUUGUAUCGCCCAAAAUAGUGAAUCAUUGCCUGGGUAAUAGAUUCGCGAAGUUUGACUACCUACUAGCUAUGGGAACCCAUGGUAAAAUUCUAAUUGCAUGGGAUGCCACUAUGGCAUCGGUCUCAAGCCCGCACCGCACCACGAACACACUCACGGGGCUGGGCAGGCCACCAAGCGGAGGCCAAUGGUGGCUAACUGGGGUAUAUGGGCCCCAGGGCAAUGAGGACAAGAUUGAGUUCCUUCAAGAGCUAGUCGACAUCCAAGACUUACAUGCGGGGCCCUGCCUAGUGGCGGGAGACUUCAACUUAGUGGUUAACCUAGAUGACAAGAAUAACAGCAUGGUGAAUCACUAUAUGAUGGCUCGAUUUUGA